This 253-nucleotide ribosomal RNA is filed under the name uncultured bacterium. RNAcentral describes it as "partial 16S ribosomal RNA". It matches the Rfam family "Bacterial small subunit ribosomal RNA", at positions 524 to 776 of the family's 1533-position model. The record is from RNAcentral.
UACGUAGGGGGCAAGCGUUGUCCGGAUUUAUUGGGCGUAAAGAGCGUGUAGGCGGCCUGACAGGUCUGCUGUGAAAACUCGAGGCUCAACCUCGAGAUGUCGGCGGAAACCGUCUGGCUAGAGUCCGGAAGAGGAGAGUGGAAUUCCUGGUGUAGCGGUGAAAUGCGCAGAUAUCAGGAGGAACACCCGUGGCGAAAGCGGCUCUCUGGGACGGUACUGACGCUGAGACGCGAAAGCGUGGGGAGCAAACAGG